This 492-nucleotide ribosomal RNA is filed under the name uncultured bacterium. Its description in RNAcentral is "partial 16S ribosomal RNA". It matches the Rfam family "Bacterial small subunit ribosomal RNA", at positions 29 to 507 of the family's 1533-position model. The record is from RNAcentral.
AGUGAACGCUGGCGGUAGGCCUAGCACAUGCAAGUCGAACGGCAGCACAGUAAGAGCUUGCUCUUACGGGUGGCGAGUGGCGGACGGGUGAGGCAUACAUCGGAAUCUACUUUUUCGUGGGGGAUAACGUAGGGAAACUUACGCUAAUACCGCAUACGACCUACGGGUGAAAGCAGGGGAUCUUCGGACCUUGCGCGAUUGAAUGAGCCGAUGUCGGAUUAGCUAGUUGGCGGGGUAAAGGCCCACCAAGGCGACGAUCCGUAGCUGGUCUGAGAGGAUGAUCAGCCACACUGGAACUGAGACACGGUCCAGACUCCUACGGGAGGCAGCAGUGGGGAAUAUUGGACAAUGGGCGCAAGCCUGAUCCAGCCAUACCGCGUGAGUGAAGAAGGCCUUCGGGUUGUAAAGCCCUUUUGUUGGGAAAGAAAAACAGCAGAUGAAUACCCCGCUGUUCUGACGGUACCCAAAGAGUAAGCACCGGCUAACUUCGUG